This 926-nucleotide unclassified non-coding RNA is filed under the name Hevea brasiliensis (rubber tree). Lineage: Eukaryota; Viridiplantae; Streptophyta; Magnoliopsida; Malpighiales; Euphorbiaceae. The record is from RNAcentral.
UAAACUUAAACUAAAAUAAUAACAAAUCUGAUACUAGUAAAAUUCCUAAACAAUAGAAACUUUAAAUUUCCUAAUUCUGAAAUUACUAUAAUUCCUAACUUCAAUCCUUUUCUAAUACUGCAUCGGUAUGCCAUAUUAAACUGGUCGUGAUUCUUUAAAAGUAACAUAAGACCAUUGUUAAUAGCCUAUAUCGGUUUGGAAUUGGAAUAAUGUACUACUCCUUAUAAAAUCUUGGACACUUCUUCCUUGAGUUAGCUUUUGGAGAUGAGUUAGACACCGCCUAUUUUGUUAAGAUGGUAUCAGAGCUUCCUCAAUCGAUGUUAGGCGUCACAAAAGUGUUUCAUGCUCCAAGUGUUCGGUUUUGGACGUGAGACGAGUGUGUUAAUAUCCCACAUCAGUUUGGGAUAAAUGUGCCCCUUACAAAGCCUUGGGUACUCUUCUCUUCCUUUAGCUAGCUUUUGAAGGUGAGUUAGACCCAGUCCAUUUUCUUAAAAACCAUAAUAUCUCUCUGCAUCCAGAGACAACUGGACUUCCUUGACUCCUACAUACACAAUGAGAAAUGAAUCCUUACAAGCAUGGUUAUAAAUUAUUGCGUUAAUAUUUGCAUUGUGCAUCCUGUUUCUACUUUCCAAUGGUUUUGCUACUUCUGUUUAGGGUACUUAAACAAUGUAAGUGGAGUUGCUCUGCCAUAAAAUGAAGAACAACUCCUUCUAUAGAAGAAUUCUCUCACUUCAUCUACCUGUGAAAUGUGCAUUUGAACUACCUUGCUGUUGACAUUGCACUUCAUAGCAUAUUAUGAAGUGCUAGCCUUCUACAGGAAUUUAUCCAGGAUAUUGGUUAUCAAUGAUAUGCCUUUUUCGCCCCACCAUUUGACAAAGCUAAUACUGAUAUUUGGCUGACUCAGGUGGUGAGAAUUGAAGGUGCAA